CCUACGGGCGGCUGCAGUGCGGAAUAUUGGUCAAUGGGCGCAAGCCUGAACCAGCCAAGUCGCGUGAGGGCUGACGGUCCUAUGGAUUGUAAACCUCUUUUGUCGGGGAGCAAGGCCCGCCACGUGUGGCGGGAAGGAGAGUACCCGAAGAAAAAGCAUCGGCUAACUCCGUGCCAGCAGCCGCGGUAAUACGGAGGAUGCGAGCGUUAUCCGGAUUUAUUGGGUUUAAAGGGUGCGUAGGCGGAAGGUUAAGUCAGCGGUAAAAUGUCGGUGCUCAACACCGGCCUGCCGUUGAAACUGGUCUUCUUGAGUGAGCGAGAAGUAUGCGGAAUGCGUGGUGUAGCGGUGAAAUGCAUAGAGAUCACGCAGAACUCCGAUUGCGAAGGCAGCAUACCGGCGCUCAACUGACGCUGAGGCACGAAAGCGUGGGGAUCGAACAGGAUUAGAUACCCCGGUAGUC
RNAcentral lists this ribosomal RNA (460 nucleotides) under uncultured bacterium. RNAcentral describes it as "partial 16S ribosomal RNA". It matches the Rfam family "Bacterial small subunit ribosomal RNA", at positions 338 to 795 of the family's 1533-position model. The record is from RNAcentral.